This 1377-nucleotide ribosomal RNA is filed under the name metagenome. RNAcentral's name for it is "bacterial SSU rRNA". It matches the Rfam family "Bacterial small subunit ribosomal RNA", at positions 8 to 1380 of the family's 1533-position model. The record is from RNAcentral.
AGAGUUUGAUCCUGGCUCAGAUGAACGCUGGCGGCAUGCCUUACACAUGCAAGUCGAACGGCAGCGCGGACUUCGGCCUGGCGGCGAGUGGCGAACGGGUGAGUAAUGCAUCGGAACGUACCUUUCAGUGGGGGAUAACGUAGCGAAAGUUACGCUAAUACCGCAUAUUCUGUGAGCAGGAAAGCAGGGGAUCGCAAGACCUUGCGCUGAUGGAGCGGCCGAUGUCAGAUUAGCUAGUUGGUGGGGUAAAGGCUCACCAAGGCGACGAUCUGUAGCGGGUCCUAGAGGAUGAUCCGCCACACUGGAACUGAGACACGGUCCAGACUCCUACGGGAGGCAGCAGUGGGGAAUUUUGGACAAUGGGCGCAAGCCUGAUCCAGCCAUGCCGCGUGAGUGAAGAAGGCCUUCGGGUUGUAAAGCUCUUUCGGCCGGGAAAAAAUCGCUUGGGUUAAUACCCUGAGUGGAUGAUGGUACCGGAAUAAGAAGCACCGGCUAACUACGUGCCAGCAGCCGCGGUAAUACGUAGGGUGCGAGCGUUAAUCGGAAUUACUGGGCGUAAAGCGUGCGCAGGCGGUUUUGUAAGACAGGCGUGAAAUCCCCGGGCUCAACCUGGGAACUGCGUUUGUGACUGCAAGGCUAGAGUAUGGCAGAGGGGGGUGGAAUUCCACGUGUAGCAGUGAAAUGCGUAGAGAUGUGGAGGAACACCAAUGGCGAAGGCAGCCCCCUGGGCCAAUACUGACGCUCAUGCACGAAAGCGUGGGGAGCAAACAGGAUUAGAUACCCUGGCAGUCCACGCCCUAAACGAUGUCAACUAGGUGUUGGGUGGGUAAAACCAUUUGGUACCGUAGCUAACGCGUGAAGUUGACCGCCUGGGGAGUACGGCCGCAAGGUUAAAACUCAAAGGAAUUGACGGGGACCCGCACAAGCGGUGGAUGAUGUGGAUUAAUUCGAUGCAACGCGAAAAACCUUACCUACCCUUGACAUGCCAGGAACUUGCCAGAGAUGGCUUGGUGCCCGAAAGGGAGCCUGGACACAGGUGCUGCAUGGCUGUCGUCAGCUCGUGUCGUGAGAUGUUGGGUUAAGUCCCGCAGCGAGCGCAACCCUUGUCGUUAAUUGCCAUCAUUUAGUUGGGCACUUUAACGAGACUGCCGGUGACAAACCGGAGGAAGGUGGGGAUGACGUCAAGUCCUCAUGGCCCUUAUGGGUAGGGCUUCACACGUCAUACAACGGUCGGUACGAAGGGUUGCCAAGCCGCGAGGCGGAGCCAAUCCCAGAAAGCCGAUCGUAGUCCGGAUCGCAGGCUGCAACUCGCCUGCGUGAAGUCGGAAUCGCUAGUAAUCGCGGAUCAGCUUGCCGCGGUGAAUACGUUCCCGGGUC